Molecule: ribosomal RNA, 543 nt
Filed under: Escherichia coli
Lineage: Bacteria; Pseudomonadati; Pseudomonadota; Gammaproteobacteria; Enterobacterales; Enterobacteriaceae
Description: partial 23S ribosomal RNA
Rfam family: Bacterial large subunit ribosomal RNA
Source: RNAcentral
CCUUUACUAUAGCUUGACACUGAACAUUGAGCCUUGAUGUGUAGGAUAGGUGGGAGGCUUUGAAGUGUGGACGCCAGUCUGCAUGGAGCCGACCUUGAAAUACCACCCUUUAAUGUUUGAUGUUCUAACGUGGACCCGUAAUCCGGGUUGCGGACAGUGUCUGGUGGGUAGUUUGACUGGGGCGGUCUCCUCCUAAAGAGUAACGGAGGAGCACGAAGGUUGGCUAAUCCUGGUCGGACAUCAGGAGGUUAGUGCAAUGGCAUAAGCCAGCUUGACUGCGAGCGUGACGGCGCGAGCAGGUGCGAAAGCAGGUCAUAGUGAUCCGGUGGUUCUGAAUGGAAGGGCCAUCGCUCAACGGAUAAAAGGUACUCCGGGGAUAACAGGCUGAUACCGCCCAAGAGUUCAUAUCGACGGCGGUGUUUGGCACCUCGAUGUCGGCUCAUCACAUCCUGGGGCUGAAGUAGGUCCCAAGGGUAUGGCUGUUCGCCAUUUAAAGUGGUACGCGAGCUGGGUUUAGAACGUCGUGAGACAGUUCGGUCCCUA